AGCUGUUAAGCUUUGUCUAUGACAGUUUUUCAGCCAGGGAGCAUAACUACAGUCGUGUUGCACUCUCUCACACAGAAAGAUGAAGAAAACACAGAAUGCAGCAUUUUGAAGAGCAGGCUGCUCUUUUCCAAACUGCCAACAAUCAAGGCAACUUCACAUCACUUCAAGAGACUCCACAGAGCUGCCUGACGCUUUUGGCCACCCGUGUCAGGCUCAACAGAGUUCUGAUGGCUCAGGGGAGCCAAGUAUCAGAGCCUUGCAAAGCAGUAUUUGGUGGUAAAAGUAGCAAACACUA
This is a long non-coding RNA of Passer domesticus (house sparrow), 295 nucleotides long. RefSeq lists it as uncharacterized. The record is from RefSeq and is a predicted model, not a curated record. NCBI's taxonomy places the organism in Eukaryota, Metazoa, Chordata, Aves, Passeriformes, Passeridae. The transcript is spliced from 2 exons.